UCCGAGAAGAUGAACUUCUUGGUCUGCCC
This 29-nucleotide non-coding RNA is filed under the name Homo sapiens (human). The record is from RNAcentral. Lineage: Eukaryota; Metazoa; Chordata; Mammalia; Primates; Hominidae.